Molecule: ribosomal RNA, 990 nt
Filed under: Triticum aestivum (bread wheat)
Lineage: Eukaryota; Viridiplantae; Streptophyta; Magnoliopsida; Poales; Poaceae
Description: partial small subunit ribosomal RNA
Source: RNAcentral
AUGGUGGUCGAUGCCCUUGCCGUCAUCCUAGAUAAGGCCAAAUCUGCUGGCCAUAUCCAUGGUGUAGUUCCCCACCUGGUAGGAGGGGGAGGGGUCUCCCUCCUACAAUACACAGAUGACACCAUAGUAAUGGUGGAGGUCUCUGCAUCUGACAUCGCUAACCUGAAGUUUGUCCUCCUCUACUUCCAACAAAUGUCCGGGCUCACGAUCAACUUCGACAAGAGCGAAGUGAUGAUUCUGGGCUACUCCCCUGAGGAAGCCCAAGCCAUGGCCGACCGACUGAACUGUCGGCUGGGUACUUUCCCCACCUCUUACUUGAAGAUACCCAUUGGUGACUCGAGACUGACCGUGGCCGACCUCCGCCCGGCGGUGACUUGAAUGCAGCAUCGGGUGGAGCCGUGGAAGGGUAGGUGGCUCUCGAAGGCUUCCAGGGUGAUCCUCAUCAACUCCUCACUGUCUAGCCUCCUAUGGUUCCUCAUGAGCUUUUAUAGCCUUCAUGAGACCCUGCAUCAGGAGAUAGGCAAGUACCAGUCCAGGUUUUUUUGGGCGGGCGAGGGCGAGAAGCAGAAAUACCAUAUGGUGAGUUGGCCUGACAUCUGCAAGCCCAAGGACCAGGGAGGUCUUGGGAUCUUGUCUUCUCGACACAUGAACAUCGCUCUCCUGAACCCACUGGCUCCAGAGAAUCGCCAAUGGGGAUGGGGACUCUGGCUAACCAUCAUCCGAAAUAAAUACCUUUGUGGUCAACCUCUAGCCUUCUGCCAGCGCUUCGGUGGCUCCCAGUUCUGGCAGGCUAUAAUCCAGCUACUUCUCGUCCUCCGAAUUGGCACAUCCAUUUCGGUUGGCUCCGGUUCCGCAAUGUUGUUCUGGUUCGAUCGUUGGGUGGGGGACUCUCCCCUGGUCGCCCGAUUCCCAAAAUUAUUCUCCAUCGUGGUUGACCCUCGGGUCUUCGUCAAGACGACCCUUAUUGACUUAGGGCGGCUCACUUUUUGA